Molecule: ribosomal RNA, 520 nt
Filed under: uncultured bacterium
Lineage: Bacteria
Description: bacterial SSU rRNA
Rfam family: Bacterial small subunit ribosomal RNA
Source: RNAcentral
AGAGUUUGAUCCUGGCUCAGGAUGAACGCUAGCUACAGGCUUAACACAUGCAAGUCGAGGGGCAGCGGGAAGAAAGCUUGCUUCUUGCCGGCGACCGGCGCACGGGUGAGUAACGCGUAUCCAACCUUCCCCUUAGUAGGGCAUAGCCCGUAGAAAUGCGGAUUAAUACCCUAUGUUGUUCGAUGCGGACAUCUAAGUUGAACCAAAGGUUUACCGCUAAGGGAUGGGGAUGCGUCCGAUUAGGCAGCAGGCGGGGUAACGGCCCACCUGGCCGACGAUCGGUAGGGGUUCUGAGAGGAAGGUCCCCCACAUUGGAACUGAGACACGGUCCAAACUCCUACGGGAGGCAGCAGUGAGGAAUAUUGGUCAAUGGGCGAGAGCCUGAACCAGCCAAGUAGCGUGCCAGGACGACGGCCCUAUGGGUUGUAAACUGCUUUUAUGCGGGGAUAAAGUGCGGCACGUGUGCCGUUUUGUAGGUACCGCAUGAAUAAGGACCGGCUAAUUCCGUGCCAGCAGCCGC